UAUAAAGCGUAUUAUAUACAUCUGCACCAACCGUGUUGUUGUGUUCCAAAUAUUGUCCUGUUUCAACUCUGAUCUCUUUCUUCUCUCCAUUUCAGACAUAGUCCUGCUCUAAGCUAUUCACCACCGAGUCCCCAUCUCAACCAGUCCCUGUAUUCCGGCUCCCUGCGAGAUGGUGACCACCACACAAAACGAAAAGAAAAUCCAGAGACAAAAAAAUCUGCAACUACAAAAGACAGACCCAAAAAAUCCUCUUUAAGCAUGUCAAAUGAGAAACCAGCUGAAUGUACUGACACAUCGAAUGAUAAAGAAUCCGGCAUCAUCAAAAAACGAAAGUCUCACCUGACACCUACCAGUGCCAAACUGUAUGAGUGGACCGAUUCCCCAGAUGAUGAAUGUACUUCUCUUAGCCCGUAUGUAAAAAAUCUUUAAUUUACACACACACACUUAUUC
Long non-coding RNA from Octopus bimaculoides (California two-spot octopus), 450 nucleotides. NCBI's taxonomy places the organism in Eukaryota, Metazoa, Mollusca, Cephalopoda, Octopoda, Octopodidae. The record is from RefSeq and is a predicted model, not a curated record.